Molecule: long non-coding RNA, 1770 nt
Organism: Cyprinus carpio (common carp)
Lineage: Eukaryota; Metazoa; Chordata; Actinopteri; Cypriniformes; Cyprinidae
Source: Ensembl
GCCAAAUACACCUCUAAUUUUAUGUAUACUUGUCAAUAUAAGUUGUUUACUUAGUAAACUCAGUAAAUUCAAUUAAGAUAAUACCAUUCUUAAUUUAAAAGAAGUAUAUUAAUGAGACUAUUAAGCCAUUAUUCACUUUAAUUGUUUGUUAAAUAUGUUUGGCAAUCCACCUUUUGAAUAUUCUCCCUCUGUAUAUUUGCUGUUACCAAUUCAACAUAAUAUUGGAGACUGAUUUGCAAGCAUACAUUUACACAGGAUUGUUAUCAUCACCCUUUCAACAACAAGUGUAAUACAAGCGUAAUAAUAAGCUUUAAUUACAGUGUAUUUAUGUUUAAUUGUACAAACCAUGCAGAUUGUUUUCUCUGCUCUUUUACAGGGUUGUGAUCCACGGCUAACAAAAGAACCACCCAAAAUAAUGACUUGACUUAUUUAUAUCGCUGCCUGUUAGAAGCAUGAAGACUGUACCAAGGCUUCACUACUGGCCAUCUUUAGUGUACCCAAGGAACCAGGACCUCAGCUUGGGAUAAUGGAGACUGCUAAUCAGACAGUGAGUGAAUCUCAAGGUGCAGGACAAACUUUGGCACCUCUUUGCACAGCCUGCUGCUGUGGACUACUAAACCGAACGCUGGCGGUUAUGUUCAUGGUUAGCCUGGCCUUUGCCAUUGUGGUGGGAAAUGUGGUGACGCUUACUGUUUUCAUGCAGACCCGGCAUUCUCGAACACCUCAGGGCUACCUCAAAGUGUCCCUGGCCUUCGCUGACAUGAUGGUUGGAGUGUUGGUGGUGCCAUUUUCUGUAUACACUGAAAUCUUUCUGAUGGUGACCAGCACUCCACCGCUGUGGUACCAGGGCAUUUCAACAGCCUCACUGGAGGGUGGAUCAGGACCUUGGCAACCCUGCAUGCUGAUAGGUCCAGUUUUUGCUGGAUGCACUUUUGUCUCAAUUAGUACCAUCUUUCUGAUGACAGUGGAGCGCAGUGUGGCAAUCCUGCGUCCGCUGCAUAAAGACACUCUUGUGACACGGCAUCGCACCCUUUUCCUAAUUGUCUUGUCCUGGGCUGGCAGCUUCUUACUGGCAAUGGCUCCGCUCAUGCUGAGCAACAGCUUCACGCUAGAGUACAAUGAAUGCAGCCGCAUGUGCAACUAUGCACCCUUACUAAUCGGACAUCAGUUGCCACCAGAUGCAAACAUCCUUCUGCUGUUUCCAGCCUUUGACUUCAGUUUACUGGGUGGGACAUUAGCAGUCAAUAUCUUGUCCUUCACCAGUAUCCGCCGAUACUCCCGCAAACGAAAGCUGCUCUCUGAGGGAAGUCUUGGCACAGAUGCAGGAGUCGGCGGGUGUCCCCACAGGCCCUCUUUUUCUGAUAUCAAAGCAGCUAAAACCAUUGGGAUCCUAACCUUUGCCUUCACAGCCUCAUUCUCUCCUAUCGCAGUAUUUGUGCUGGGGAACGUAGUGGGUUACACCUGGUGCAACUUCUCCUUUUUUGCAUUUUGGAUUCUGACAAGCAAUAGCUGCUGCAAUGUGAUUAUUUAUAGUGUGCGGGACCACCGUUUUAGGAAAGGGCUGACUUUGCUCUUUCAGCGGGACAAAGCGCAACCUCACCCAGAGAAAAGCUGAGAUUUUUUGGACAGGAGCUGGGCAAAGGCUGGCAUUGACUUCACUUUCUUCACCUCCCAUCACUUUCGCCUUGAGAGAUUAAGAACUUGCUUUUCAGGAUCUCUUUCACAAAUGGAUCAGGGACAACAAUAAACAUCAUUCCAGGGAUUCUGGCA